Molecule: ribosomal RNA, 252 nt
Filed under: uncultured bacterium
Lineage: Bacteria
Description: partial 16S ribosomal RNA
Rfam family: Bacterial small subunit ribosomal RNA
Source: RNAcentral
UACGGAGGAUGCGAGCGUUAACCGGAUUUAUUGGGUUUAAAGGGUGCGUAGGCGGGAUGCCAAGUCAGCGGUAAAAAUGCGGUGCUCAACGCCGUCGAGCCGUUGAAACUGGCGUUCUUGAGUGGGCGAGAAGUACGCGGAAUGCGUGGUGUAGCGGUGAAAUGCAUAGAUAUCACGCAGAACUCCGAUUGCGAAGGCAGCAUACCGGCGCCCUACUGACGCUGAGGCACGAAAGCGUGGGUAUCGAACAGG